UACGGAGGGUGCGAGCGUUGUCCGGAAUCAUUGGGCGUAAAGGGCGCGUAGGUGGCGGGACAAGCGUGCGGUGAAAGCUCGGGGCUCAACCCCGCGUCGGCCGUGCGAACUGUUUUGCUUGAGCACUGUAGAGGCAGGCGGAAUUCCGGGUGUAGCGGUGGAAUGCGUAGAGAGUCCGGAAGAACGACCGGUGGCGAAGGCGGCCUGCUGGGCAGUAGCUGACACUGAGGCGCGACAGCGUGGGGAGCAAACAGG
RNAcentral lists this ribosomal RNA (255 nucleotides) under uncultured bacterium. RNAcentral's name for it is "partial 16S ribosomal RNA". It matches the Rfam family "Bacterial small subunit ribosomal RNA", at positions 524 to 776 of the family's 1533-position model. The record is from RNAcentral.